GAUGAACGCUGGCGGCGUGCCUAAUACAUGCAAGUCGAGGGGACGGACGAGCAGCUUGCUUUGCUACUGUUAGCGGCGGGCGGGUGAGUAACACGUGGAUAACCUACCUGUCUGACAUGGAUAACUUCGGGAAACCGGAGCUCAUACCGGGUAAUAUUUUGAACCGAGUGGUGCAAAAGAGAAAGACGGUCUUGCUGUCCCUUAUAGAUGGAUCCGCGCUGCAUUAGCUAGUUGGUAAGGUAACGGCUUACCAAGGCAACGGUGAAUAGCCGCCCUGAGAGGGAGAUGGGCCACGCCGGAGCUGGGACACGGUCCAGAGGGCUAUGGGAGGCGGCAGUAGCGAAUACUGCGCGCUGGAGGGGAGCCUAAUGGAGCAAGGCCGCGUGAGUGAUGAAGGUAUUCGGUGUGUAAGACGCUGUUAUUAGGGAUGAAAAGAUGUGUAAGUAGGGAAGAAGAUAUUGACGGUACCUGAACAGGAAGCCACGGCUAACUACGUG
This 497-nucleotide ribosomal RNA is filed under the name uncultured bacterium. RNAcentral's name for it is "partial 16S ribosomal RNA". It matches the Rfam family "Bacterial small subunit ribosomal RNA", at positions 28 to 507 of the family's 1533-position model. The record is from RNAcentral.